RNAcentral lists this ribosomal RNA (571 nucleotides) under uncultured Blastocystis sp. RNAcentral describes it as "SSU rRNA". It matches the Rfam family "Eukaryotic small subunit ribosomal RNA", at positions 21 to 607 of the family's 1831-position model. Lineage: Eukaryota; Bigyra; Opalinata; Blastocystidae. The record is from RNAcentral.
AGUCAUACGCUCGUCUCAAAGAUUAAGCCAUGCAUGUGUAAGUAUAAAUAUUUAACUUUGAAACUGCGAAUGGCUCAUUAUAUCAGUUAUAGUUUAUUUGAUGAAAAGUACUACUUGGAUAACCGUAGUAAUUCUAGAGCUAAUACAUGAUAAAAUCCUCGACUUUGAAGAGGUGUAUUUAUUAGAAUGAAACCAAUAGACUUCGGUCUGUUUGUGAGUAAUAAUAACUAAUCGUAUCGCAUGCUUAGGUAGCGAUAUGUCUUUCAAGUUUCUGCCCUAUCAGCUUUGGAUGGUAGUGUAUUGGACUACCAUGGCAGUAACGGGUAACGAAGAAUUUGGGUUCGAUUUCGGAGAGGGAGCCUGAGAGAUGGCUACCACAUCCAAGGAAGGCAGCAGGCGCGUAAAUUACCCAAUCCUGACAUAGGGAGGUAGUGACAAUAAAUAACGAUACGGGGCCUAUUAGGUCUCGUAAUUGGAAUGAGAACAAUUUAAAUACCUUAACGAGGAACAAUUAGAGGGCAAGUCUGGUGCCAGCAGCCGCGGUAAUUCCAGCUCUGAUAGUAUAUAUUAA